RNAcentral lists this transfer RNA (77 nucleotides) under Cycloclasticus sp. Its description in RNAcentral is "tRNA-Asp". It matches the Rfam family "tRNA". From Rfam's summary of the family: Transfer RNA (tRNA) molecules are approximately 80 nucleotides in length. Their secondary structure includes four short double-helical elements and three loops (D, anti-codon, and T loops). The record is from RNAcentral. Lineage: Bacteria; Pseudomonadati; Pseudomonadota; Gammaproteobacteria; Thiotrichales; Piscirickettsiaceae.
GGAGUGGUAGUUCAGUUGGUUAGAAUACCGGCCGGUCACGCCGGGGGUCGCGGGUUCGAGUCCCGUCCGCUCCGCCA